UCUAUAUAUAUUCAAUAUAAUUUAAUAUAAUAUCGGUAAAAAUGUAUAGAAUUUAUCUAAAUUAUGGACUAUUCUGAGUUGGCUAUUCAAUCUUUCAAAAUUGUUAUUUUUUUAAAUAACAUCUUGGUUUCAAAUUUAAGUUAACUGUUUACUUUAAUAAAUUGAUAGUUGCGAGAAUUAUAUGAAGUACUAUAUAUAUUUAUAUAUAUACUUAUAGAGUCCCGCUGGGAUACUAUCAAUAGCACGGGGCAUUUGGUGCUAUCAAGCUCUUUUAUCAUUUUCAUCCGUUCGAUUAUACUAUUCAACUAACUACCUACUCAACCCUAGGGGGCCCACAUCAUCCUAACCGCACAUCCUUUAAUCUAAGAGCAGAAAACUUAAUAGUAUCAAGUCAUUGGUGCUAUUAAUAGUAUUCCAGUCUGAUUACUAUACUAUCGAUAAAACCAAACUCUUGGUACUAUCAAGCUUUCUACCGUCCGAUCUAUCCUUUGAUCAUUUGCACAUGUUAGAUUAUACUAUUCAAUCAACAACCCAUCCAACCUUAUGGGACCAUUAUCAUCCUAACCGGAAACCACUAUCAUCUUAACGGCACAUCCUUUCAUCUAACGGCCGAAAACUCGAAGUACCAAGUGCCCUGUACAAUCGAUAGUAUAGUAGCAUAAUUCAUAUACAGUACGGCUACUAUACUCUUAUAAGUACGAUUAUCUUCAUACUCGUAAAUCGUUUCAAUGGCAGAGUUUCUAAAUUGGUGAUCCAUAUAUUUAAAUAUUAUCUAGAGCAUUUAAAAUUUAUAGAAAUCAAAUUUUAUAAUUUUUUGAUAUCAUUUACCUUAUGAUCAAAAAAUUUCAAAAUUGGCAAUUUUUAACCAUUGGUAUGAAAUACUUGCUAGUUUAAUGAUGUAAAAAAAUCAGAAUCGGUUGAAUUUGUGAUAGAAAAUUUUAUUUACUAUCUAGAUAAAGAUUAAUAACUUCGAUCCUAAAUUGAACGAUUCGAUUAUCAAUUUUUAGAACGUCAUUCGAUUUUAACUGUUCAUUUUUAUGCCCGCUUGAUGAAUUUUAUUAUGAUUUCGAAAAACUACGAAAUUUAUUGUUUGAAAGUUUCAAAUACUUUAAGGGUGCGUUUGGUUCGAGUUAUCCUGGCAGGAUUGGCAAUCCUGCCAGGAUAACUGUGUUUGGUUAAUCCGCUAUAUAAUCUAGUCGUUAAUGUAGCAUUACAAAUCGAACAGGAUCACAUCAAAAAUAUUAACGGGAGGGGGGUCGUAUAUCUUGCAUUACUGAAACCCGUUAAUACUACAUAUUAUGUAAAAUGACAAUUUUACCCUCCAACAACCCCAAAUCUAAUUAAAAGCAUUAUUUUCAUCUCUCUCUCGUCUUCCCCCCGGCCUUCUCUCUCGCACGCUACUUUCUCUCGCUCUCUCUCUCUCUCUCUCUCUCUCUCGCACGAACACCUAUCAUCUUCUAUUGCGUCGUCCUCCCAAGUAAUCAUCACGAUCUCCUUCCCUCCAUUCGUCAUUUCUGUAAAAAAUAAUAUUCAAAUGACCACAACAAGGACAAUUUUGAAAAAAAACUAUAUUUUUAUGUCAGGAUUACUAAAUUUUAUAAACUGAACCAAACAUAUUAAUGCUAAACACUGUAAUCUAGUAUUGCAUUACUGUAUUAAACCAAACGCGCUAAUGUAGCAUCAGUAGUAAUCUCACGCCGAAAUUCAAGAUAUCUGGAUAUGUCGAGAUACUUUGUAAUAUUACAUAGCUCGAACCAAACGGGCCCUAAAUCAUAUUUAACGUAGUGGAUCGUCGAUUCGAAAAUUUUAUCAUCGAAAAUAAUUUAUAUGAGCACAAUGAGCUCUACACUAAUAAGAGUAUAGUCGAUUCGAAAAUUUUAUCAUCGAAAAUAAUUUAUAUGAGCACAAUGAGCUCUACACUAAUAAGAGUAUAAUAGCUCUACCUCUAUAUAAUAUAUAUAAAUAUAAUAUGUAUAUAUAAAAUAUAAAUAUAUAUAUAUA
RNAcentral lists this long non-coding RNA (2001 nucleotides) under Ananas comosus (pineapple). Its description in RNAcentral is "long non-coding RNA (ACOM_LNC020304)". The record is from RNAcentral. Lineage: Eukaryota; Viridiplantae; Streptophyta; Magnoliopsida; Poales; Bromeliaceae.